UCAUUUUUUGAAAAUAUUUACAAGAAUUUUCUUGCCAAAUUAUGGUGAUUUUUUUAAAAGGAAAAAUCUUUGGGAUUUUUUUCCUGAACAUUUUGCAAAUUUUCAGAAAUUUGGGGAUUUUUUUUUGUUGAAUUUUUGGAUUUUUUCCAGACAAGGAAACAAUAUUUUUGGCGGCCGUAGAUGAGGACAACAGGAGGGUUAAAACAAAGCUGAAGACCCACUGGUUUACUGUUAAAGGAGUCUUCCACUGUUUUACUGAUGUCCUUUUUAUUGUUUUUAUCUCUAUGUACAGCACGCUGACUGAGAGCACUUUAUAAAUACAUUUACUAUUAUCAUUGUUAUUAUAUUACCCUUAAAAAACUAUAUAUGUUGUUAAAAUUACAAACGUUUAAGAGCUAGGAAGUGUUUCUAAGAGUGUGGGGAGGGAUUGUAAAGCUUUAAAAUACAUCUAAAUAAUACAGUAAGGUUGCUCCUUUGAUUUUGGCUUAAUUGGAAAAUUAGAAAAUAUAUUCCUUUUUUUUUUUUUUUUUAAAUUGUACAGUUCAAUAAGUGUCUUUUAUAGAUGGUUUAAACGCUGUGGUAAACCAGGGACCACUGUAAAGCUACAUCUUUACUAACAAACUAACGAAUCUGCUCUUUCAUUAUCUUUUCUUAAAAAACUAGAAAACUAUCAAUCGACUCUUCUCGUGUCGAACGCUCUGAUUGGCUGUUUAAAUUUCUGCUUCACAUCCUGGUAAAGCUCCAUCUUCCUCUCCGUCUGACAAACGUCUGACAAAACUGAGCAAAAAGAGGACUGGUGCGAUCAGAAGUCAGCACAAACGCUAAGCUAACCAAAACUUCUUCCUUGUUAAAGUGAAGCUGAAGGUUGGACACAAAGAUUUCUGACCUCCUUGAGGACAACAAUCUGGUCUGCUGCCUUCAGGUACUGCAGCUGGUGGGUGACCAAGAUACGAGGUUUGUCCUUCAGGAGGCCACAGAUGCACCUGAAACAGAACAAGCCGAGAUGUUAUCGGCUUUAGUCUGCACAUCUAAACACAAACGGAGCGGAAACUUAUCGUAGAAUGAGAGAAUAAACUGAGAUAAAGACCAACAAACAUUCCACGCCUCCAUCUUCCCUGUCGGAGCUGUUAUGUAACGCUCAGAGCUGCUGGGUUAUUCCAGAGGAAGACCGGGGCUGAGUUCAACGGUCUUCCUGACACUGGCAGCACCGCACCUCUUCCUGCCUUAGUUCAACUCAUGGAAACAUUCUCUGAUCUUUGUUCUCACGUGAGAUGAGCGAAUGAAAAUGCAACAAAAAACACUAUUAAAUAAGGCACCGCUCAGAUCCAUCGCUCAGGCUGGAUAAAUGUAGGAGACCAGCAUAAAGCGGAACACAGAGUUCAAAGCUUACAUCAUGUCCAGUAACACCAGGACACCUCUCCACCCUGGUUUUACUGGAACCGUCUCAAAAAGGUUUUGAGUUCUUUUGUUCAGACAAAUAAAGAUUAGAUAGAUGUUGAUUACCUUGCAUGACAGUUCCGGCGAACACUCUGGCCUUCCUCAGAAGCCUCAGCCGGAAGAUUUUUGACAGCCGGCAUUUGCAGCACGCACAGUAGAGUCACCAGAUCCGUGGACAGAACCGUGAACGGGGACGAGGCAGGCUUCAUGCUCUCCCACAGCUGGGACACCAUCCUCCAGAAGAAACAGGAAGGCGGAGGAUGCGGCAUUCCUGGUGGGGUGGUCGUGUCUGUUGGGUUCACCACAGCAUGCCGUUAUGGAGUGAGCGUGGUUGGACCGGGGGGUCUGGCAACUCUACUGCUGCAAAAUCCUGCUGUCAAAAAUCUGCUGGCUGACGCUUCUGAGGAAGGCCAGAGUGUUCGCCGAAACUGUCAAGCAAGCACAGUAAUCAACAUCUAUCUAAUCUUGAUUUGUCUGAACAAAAGAACUGAAAACUAGUGACUCCAACUGUGAUCAUUACAUCAUAUUUAAGGAAUGAUCUUUUUAUAAAACAUCAGGAACAACCUGAAGUUUCUUAAGAAACAAAGUUCAGUUUCAUCAACAUUCAUCCUCACUUUAUCAUUUCCUCAUUACAACUUCCAGAUCACAGAGUGUCUACAAAGGAACACAACAUUUAGUCACCUGGAGCUGAACCACAGAGGAUUUACUGGAGGGUCAAACAACAAAAGUCAGGCAAAAAAAGACAAAAAACAACAAAAACAACACAAAAUAUUACAAAAAUUAUGCAAAAAAUGACAAAAGCGAGAAACAAAAUGACAAAAAAAUGAGACAAACGACAUGAAACAAAACAAGAGAGACAAAAAAGUUAGAAAGCAACAAAAAAAUGGACAAACAAGAAAAAUAAGACAAAAAAUGACAAAAGUGAAAAACCAAACCAAAAAAAAAACACAGACGAACAACACAAACGAGACAAAAAAGAUGAAAACAACAAAAACAAGACAAAAUACGACAAAAACGAGACAUGAAACGACAAAACAACAAUGAACAAUCUGGUAUUUUACUUUAUGAUCAAAACUCGUCGUGGUCUAGAAACGAUUUUAAAUUUGAAGUUUCACAAAGUGACAGUUUUCUCCUGAUAUCUCGUCUGUAAUUUUUACUCUGCGGGCCGGCGUGGACCCUCUGGUUGAGAUGUUUGAGGGGAACAGAAACACUGGGGUUUGACCGACUGUACGGAUCACAACGAGGCAGACGGAGAGUUUGUGGAGCUCUGAAAUCACUCACUGUUCAAAGAGGUGUCUUCCAACCUCGGCGUCGACGGCACUCAGAGGGUCGUCCAGCAGGUAGACGUCUGCAUCCUGAUACACGGCCCUGAAACAACAUCAUCACCUUUUAGACAUCUACUGGCAGCAAUAACACGCAAACUAGGGAUGGUUGACUCGAGCUUUCUGUCCUCCACUCAGCGUGGCUCCUCUGUCCCCGAUCAGCGUCUGGUCUCCAUCAGGGAGCAGCUGCAGGUCCUGCAAAGGCGGACAUCAGAGCAUUAUUACUGCACAACCCACACAGCAGGACGUCCAUGUCGACUGUAGACGGGACACGGAGAAAGAAAAGCAGCCUUUCUUCAAACUGAAUCCUCCCAACAGACUUAGACUUACAAUGACUCAGCAAUUAUUGUCCUGCUGAAAGCAAACGGACAAUAAGUGAGCUGCUCAGAGCACACUGUAGCAUCAGUAAACUGUGUAACCGCAUGGAUGAACACUGACUGGAUUAUUGGACACAGAUAAGACACACAGUGAAUGAGGAGAGCGUCUGCAUCACACCAGAAUACAGAACAAGUCCAAUCAUUAGGACAGCUUGGUUCCAGAACAGCAGAUCAAUACGUGGAUUUAUUAUGUGGAUAAAUCCUCACAGUCAGACCAGUGACUCAUUAACUGAACACAGCUUCAUGAACUUCUCCUGACAGAUGAGUGCAAUCGUAGCUCAACGUAAGCAACAAAUGACCCAUAAAACAUGAAGAAAAGAUUAAGAUUUAAAUAACACGAGUCUCUUCAGAAGAAGACGGACAUUUAGUGAGCUCUCAGUCAUUCAGAAAAGCAAAAAAGACAACCAAGAUAGCAUUUAAAAUUUAGCACAGUCUGCUGUGGAACAUCCAGCCCACAGUCACGCCUCCACAAAAGUUGUGUCGGUGUUCUUACUCGCUCAAAACAUUUCCGUGUCAUUCUCUGAACCGGAGCGUCACGUUAACAGAAGAGCUUUGAGUUGUGUGAAGUGAUUUCAGGAACAUCAGAGAGCAUUAAUACGUGGUUGGUGUGUCGAAACCACAGCACACCUGUCUCACCAACUGUUCCAAAGCCACUGGGCUCCAAAUGAAAUGCCACUAAUAAUACAAUUUAACACGGCCUCCAUGACAGCAAAUAAAUCUAAACAUCCUGAGGCAACAGUAGAAGGACUUGGCUUUGCCACAAACCACAAAAUGACUCAUGUAAGUACACUGGCAGUCAGAAGCUUCAACACAUCGUCUUAUCUGAAGGAUUUUAUUUAUUUUCACGACUUUUUACAUUCUAGAUUCUCACUGAAGGCAUCAGAACUGUGAAGCUCAUCCAGAGAAUGCCAACAGUGAGGAAAGCAGGAAUCAAAGCAGCAGGUGGCUGUUUGAAAGAACCUAAAAUAGAAAAGAUGUUUGGACUCCUUUCUUUCCUACAUAAUUCCAGAUGUGUUCAUUCAUAGUUUUGACGCCUUCAGAGAGAAUCUACAACGUAAACAUUAAUGAAAACAAACAAAGACCAUGAAGUGAGAAAGUGUGUCCAAACUUUUGACUAAUCAACUGUCAGAAAUGUUUAAGACUCUUAACCCUUUAAACUGCAGUCAAUUCCAGCCAUUUUCAGUACAAAAAAAAUCACUAAUAUUCUAUUUGUAAAUAAAAAAAAAUGACGAGAAAUACAGGGAAUAUUGGACGCACAUCGCGAGGUGCAUUUCCUCGAAAACGACCGAUUCGUGGAUUUUAUACGACUUCAGGACAUGUUUUGGACAAAAUAUUUUACUGACUUGUGUCAUCUGGAUGUAAAAGGUUGGAUUAUGGCCGUUUUUUGUGGAAUAUUUUCAUCUGUGUGUAAUAAUGAACCCGGAAAUGUGAGUCGCUCUGUGUGCGUUGAAGCCGUGUAUAGAGAACGGAUGGAUGAAUAUUCGUUGUUUGUCGGACAAAUGUGUUUUUCUCACCCGCUGUGGUAAUCGCAUCUGAAAGUGGUUUAUACCGGCGGAUUCAUGACAAUCUAAGCUUUCCAUCGGCGUGUAGUGUUUGUAUAAUCACGUUUGCGGCCUUCAGACAUUCUUUAAAUUCCUCUGCAAAUUAGUAGGUGUACCACCGGCGGUACACUGAAGUUUAAGGGGCAAGUUUUUUGAGCAAAUGGUGACAGAAGCAUUUCUAAAUCCUAAUAUGAUGUCACUCAUAAGCUAGAGGUAACAGAGGCAGUUAUUGUUCAUCUUUAUGAGCCCAAACAUCCAUAACGGUCAUUUCAGUACAUCCAGGUACUUCAGAGAGUCUGAACAGAGUCUGCACCAACUCCCUGCAUGUGCAGCCUCCUGUCUUUGAGCUUUUUCUGUAUUUACCCAACCAUUUAUCAUAAAGUUUAAACUCUCAAUCAAC
Long non-coding RNA from Acanthochromis polyacanthus (spiny chromis), 5077 nucleotides. RefSeq lists it as uncharacterized. The record is from RefSeq and is a predicted model, not a curated record. NCBI's taxonomy places the organism in Eukaryota, Metazoa, Chordata, Actinopteri, Pomacentridae. The transcript is spliced from 3 exons.